RNAcentral lists this transfer RNA (75 nucleotides) under Schistocerca americana (American grasshopper). RNAcentral's name for it is "tRNA-Ala". It matches the Rfam family "tRNA". From Rfam's summary of the family: Transfer RNA (tRNA) molecules are approximately 80 nucleotides in length. Their secondary structure includes four short double-helical elements and three loops (D, anti-codon, and T loops). Lineage: Eukaryota; Metazoa; Arthropoda; Insecta; Orthoptera; Acrididae. The record is from RNAcentral.
GGGGGCGUAGCUCAGUUGGUAGAGCGUUCGCUUUGCAUGUGAAAGGGUCCCCGGGUUCAAACCCCGGCGCCUCCA